GGCGGACGGGUGAGUAACACGUGGGUAACCUGCCUGUAAGACUGGGAUAACUCCGGGAAACCGGAGCUAAUACCGGAUAGUUCCUUGAACCGCAUGGUUCAAGGAUGAAAGACGGUUUCGGCUGUCACUUACAGAUGGACCCGCGGCGCAUUAGCUAGUUGGUGAGGUAACGGCUCACCAAGGCGACGAUGCGUAGCCGACCUGAGAGGGUGAUCGGCCACACUGGGACUGAGACACGGCCCAGACUCCUACGGGAGGCAGCAGUAGGGAAUCUUCCGCAAUGGACGAAAGUCUGACGGAGCAACGCCGCGUGAGUGAUGAAGGUUUUCGGAUCGUAAAGCUCUGUUGUUAGGGAAGAACAAGUGCAAGAGUAACUGCUUGCACCUUGACGGUACCUAACCAGAAAGCCACGGCUAACUACGUGCCAGCAGCCGCGGUAAUACGUAGGUGG
Molecule: ribosomal RNA, 451 nt
Filed under: Bacillus safensis
Lineage: Bacteria; Bacillati; Bacillota; Bacilli; Caryophanales; Bacillaceae
Description: bacterial SSU rRNA
Rfam family: Bacterial small subunit ribosomal RNA
Source: RNAcentral